This 426-nucleotide ribosomal RNA is filed under the name uncultured archaeon. RNAcentral describes it as "bacterial SSU rRNA". It matches the Rfam family "Archaeal small subunit ribosomal RNA", at positions 475 to 903 of the family's 1478-position model. The record is from RNAcentral.
ACCAGCUCUUCAAGUGGUCGGGAUAAUUAUUGGGCUUAAAGUGUCCGUAGCCGGUUUAGUAAGUUCCUGUAAAAUCGGGUAGCUUAACUAUCUAUAUGCUAGGAAUACUGCUAUACUAGAGGGCGGGAGAGGUCUGAGGUACUACAGGGGUAGGGGUGAAAUCUUAUAAUCCUUGUAGGACCACCAGUGGCGAAGGCGUCAGACUGGAACGCGCCUGACAGUGAGGGACGAAAGCCAGGGGAGCGAACCGGAUUAGAUACCCGGGUAGUCCUGGCUGUAAACGAUGCAUACUAGGUGAUGGCACGGCCAUGAGCCGUGUCAGUGCCGUAGGGAAACCGUUAAGUGUGCCGCCUGGGAAGUACGGUCGCAAGGCUAAAACUUAAAGGAAUUGGCGGGGAGCACCACAAGGGGUGAAGCCUGCGGUUC